AUUGAACGCUGGCGGCAGGCCUAACACAUGCAAGUCGAGCGAGCGGCGGACGGGUGAGUAAUGUAUGGGGACUGCCCGAUAGAGGGGGAUAACUACUGGAAAAGGUGGCUAAUACCGCAUACUAUCGGAUAACCCAUAUGGGAUUAGAUAGUAGGUGGGGUAACGGCUCACCUAGGCGACGAUCUCUAGCUGGUCUGAGAGGAUGAUCAGCCGCACGUGGACUGCGGCACGGCCCAGACUCCUACGGAGGCAGCAGUGGGGAAUAUUGCACAAUGGGCGCAAGCCGAAUGCAGCCAAGCCGCGUGUAGGAAGAAGGCCUUAGGUUUUUAAAGGACUUUCAGCUGGGAGGCGUUACCCGCAGAAGAAGCACCGGCUAACUCCGUGCCAGCAGCCGCGGUAAUUC
This 403-nucleotide ribosomal RNA is filed under the name uncultured bacterium. RNAcentral's name for it is "partial 16S ribosomal RNA". It matches the Rfam family "Bacterial small subunit ribosomal RNA", at positions 30 to 526 of the family's 1533-position model. The record is from RNAcentral.